AUUGAACGCUGGCGGCAGGCCUAACACAUGCAAGUCGGACGGUAGCACAGAGAGCUUGCUCUCGGGUGACGAGUGGCGGACGGGUGAGUAAUGUCUGGGGAUCUGCCCGAUAGAGGGGGAUAACCACUGGAAACGGUGGCUAAUACCGCAUAACGUCGCAAGACCAAAGAGGGGGACCUUCGGGCCUCUCACUAUCGGAUGAACCCAGAUGGGAUUAGCUAGUAGGCGGGGUAACGGCCCACCUAGGCGACGAUCCCUAGCUGGUCUGAGAGGAUGACCAGCCACACUGGAACUGAGACACGGUCCAGACGCCUACGGGAGGCAGCAGUGGGGAAUAUUGCACAAUGGGCGCAAGCCUGAUGCAGCCAUGCCGCGUGUAUGAAGAAGGCCUUCGGGUUGUAAAGUACUUUCAGCGGGGAGGAAGGCGAUGUGGUUAAUAACCGCAUUGAUUGACGUUACCCGCAGAAGGAGCACCGGCUAACUCCGUGCCAGCCGCCGCGGUAA
This 504-nucleotide ribosomal RNA is filed under the name uncultured bacterium. RNAcentral's name for it is "partial 16S ribosomal RNA". It matches the Rfam family "Bacterial small subunit ribosomal RNA", at positions 29 to 523 of the family's 1533-position model. The record is from RNAcentral.